This 308-nucleotide unclassified non-coding RNA is filed under the name Hevea brasiliensis (rubber tree). Lineage: Eukaryota; Viridiplantae; Streptophyta; Magnoliopsida; Malpighiales; Euphorbiaceae. The record is from RNAcentral.
GUCGACGAGCUACAGGACGAAGUGAGACUUGUUCAGGAAAGAAUGCUGUCCCUCGAGAUAAAGAUCAGUGACAAGCCCUGGACAUCAGCAAACUGAGACAACCAACAUGGGCAAUGGAGUGGACUUGGCGGCGUCACAUGUGUUCUUGAAGUCCCCUCCCAGAUCAAAUUAGUAAAUAAUUUUGUGCAGUAUUUGUGAUGUACAAAGCUGAGUUUCCGAUUCUCUGUGAAACUGGAACAUAGUUAUGGAUUUUAUUAUCUACCUUUUUGCCCAAGGGUUUGAGUGUUGGAUAUAAGACGUUACUUUGU